This 910-nucleotide long non-coding RNA is filed under the name Aquilegia coerulea. RNAcentral's name for it is "long non-coding RNA (ACOE_LNC002104)". Lineage: Eukaryota; Viridiplantae; Streptophyta; Magnoliopsida; Ranunculales; Ranunculaceae. The record is from RNAcentral.
CCUUAUAUGCCAUUCCAUUAUUUGGAAGAAUCAUAAUGUUACUUUGCAGCAUCGUCGUAAUCAUCCACCUAGGAACUCUCCAAUGAACUCUCCAGUUUGAAGCCAUCAUCUGCUCUGGAACCCUAAUAAUAAAUGCAAAUUCACCACGCACAAAAGUUUCACAAUCAAAUAUUAUUUUAGCUUAGAUAUCUUCUGUUUAAAAGCAUUUGUAAUAGUUUUAUUGACACAUUCAACUCCAGUCCAAUCUACCAAGUUUAGUAAACCAACCUGAAUCAAUUCAUCAUGAACAACAUACUUUAACAAAAUAAAUGAACAAAGAGAAAAUUUCAAAUAAGGAAACGAUGCAAAUUAAAGUAAUCGCAAAGAAAUGGUAAUGUAUACAACAUAUACGUAGGCUUACCUCAGAUAUUUGGUUCUCUUAUACAGGAGGUACAUAGGUGAAAGUUAUAUCUCAGCAAACAUGCUAAAGAGAGAUCUCUGCUAGAUCUUCCUAAUUAUUACCUCUGGAUCAAGGUCCCAUCCUCACCUGGCAUCAAAGCAUAACUGAUUAUCAUACAUGCUCCAUCUAUUUUCUUCAGUGUUGAUAAACUAAGAAAACAAUUCAAAGUUUCGGUGAACUAAGGCGAAAUUCAGGAAAAACUAUUUCAAUCCAACAUGAAAACAAUUUCACUUACCUUGGAGCUUUAAUUGAUUGAAAAUUUCCUUGUAUCAACAGUUAUUUUCAAUCCAACAUGAAAACAAUUUCACUGACCUUGGAGCUUCAAUUGAUUGAAAAUUUCUGUAUGCGAACCUUACAUCAACAGUUAUUUUCAAUGGAUUGAGGCCCUGCGAAAUCGAACUUUUCUUAAACAAAACUUGUAGGAAUCUUAAGCGUUGGACUCUCUGACCUUGUAGAAUUUAGAUAAUUUUC